GAUGAACGCUGGCGGCGUGCUUAACACAUGCAAGUCGAGCGAAGCACUUAAGAAUGAUUCUUCGGAUGAAGACUUUUGUGACUGAGCGGCGGACGGGUGAGUAACGCGUGGGUAACCUGCCUCAUACAGGGGGAUAACAGUUAGAAAUGGCUGCUAAUACCGCAUAAGACCACGGUACUGCAUGGUACAGUGGUAAAAACUCCGGUGGUAUGAGAUGGACCCGCGUCUGAUUAGGUAGUUGGUGAGGUAACGGCCCACCAAGCCGACGAUCAGUAGCCGACCUGAGAGGGUGACCGGCCACAUUGGGACUGAGACACGGCCCAGACUCCUACGGGAGGCAGCAGUGGGGAAUAUUGCACAAUGGGCGAAAGCCUGAUGCAGCGACGCCGCGUGAAGGAUGAAGUAUUUCGGUAUGUAAACUUCUAUCAGCAGGGAAGAAAAUGACGGUAC
RNAcentral lists this ribosomal RNA (450 nucleotides) under uncultured bacterium. RNAcentral describes it as "bacterial SSU rRNA". It matches the Rfam family "Bacterial small subunit ribosomal RNA", at positions 28 to 478 of the family's 1533-position model. The record is from RNAcentral.